This 254-nucleotide ribosomal RNA is filed under the name uncultured bacterium. Its description in RNAcentral is "partial 16S ribosomal RNA". It matches the Rfam family "Bacterial small subunit ribosomal RNA", at positions 524 to 776 of the family's 1533-position model. The record is from RNAcentral.
UACGUAGGGUGCGAGCGUUGUCCGGAAUUAUUGGGCGUAAAGAGCUCGUAGGCGGUCUGUCGCGUCGGUCGUGAAAACUUGGGGCUUAACCCUGAGCUUGCGGUCGAUACGGGCAUGACUGGAGUUCGGCAGGGGAGACUGGAAUUCCUGGUGUAGCGGUGAAAUGCGUAGAUAUCAGGAGGAACACCCAUGGCGAAGGCAGCUUCCUGGCCCAAUUCUGACGCUGAGGUGCGAAAGCGUGGGUAGCGAACGGG